This 468-nucleotide ribosomal RNA is filed under the name uncultured bacterium. Its description in RNAcentral is "partial 16S ribosomal RNA". It matches the Rfam family "Bacterial small subunit ribosomal RNA", at positions 28 to 507 of the family's 1533-position model. The record is from RNAcentral.
GACGAACGCUGGCGGCGUGCUUAACACAUGCAAGUCGAACGGAAAGGCCCUGCUUUUGUGGGGUGCUCGAGUGGCGAACGGGUGAGUAACACGUGAGUAACCUGCCCUUGACUUUGGGAUAACUUCAGGAAACUGGGGCUAAUACCGGAUAGGAGCUCCUGCUGCAUGGUGGGGGUUGGAAAGUUUCGGCGGUUGGGGAUGGACUCGCGGCUUAUCAGCUUGUUGGUGGGGUGGUGGCUUACCAAGGCAUUGACGGGUAGCCGGCCUGUGAGGGUGACCGGCCACAUGGGGACUGAGAUACGCACCAGACUGCUACGGGAGGCAGCAGUGGGGAAUAUUGCACAAUGGGCGGAAGCCUGAUGCAGCAACGCCGCGUGCGGGAUGACGGCCUUCGGGUUGUAAACCGCUUUCGCCUGUGACGAAGCGUGAGUGACGGUAAUGGGUAAAGAAGCACCGGCUAACUACGUG